Molecule: ribosomal RNA, 400 nt
Filed under: uncultured bacterium
Lineage: Bacteria
Description: bacterial SSU rRNA
Rfam family: Bacterial small subunit ribosomal RNA
Source: RNAcentral
UAGGGAAUAUUGGACAAUGGGCGGAAGCCUGAUCCAGCCAUGCCGCGUGCAGGAAGAAGGCCUUCUGGGUUGUAAACUGCUUUUGACAGAGAACAAAAAGUGCCUGCGGGCAAAAUUGAGUGUAUCUGUAGAAUAAGCCACGGCUAACUACGUGCCAGCAGCCGCGGUAAUACGUAGGUGGCGAGCGUUAUCCGGAUUUAUUGGGUUUAAAGGGUGCGUAGGCGGUUUUGUAAGUCAGUGGUGAAAGACUGCCGCUUAACGGUAGCAUUGCCAUUGAUACUGCAAGGCUAGAGUACAGUAGAGGUAGGCGGAAUUUAUGGUGUAGCGGUGAAAUGCAUAGAUACCAUAAAGAACACCGAUUGCGAAGGCAGCUUACUGGACUGUAACUGACGCUGAGGCA